Molecule: long non-coding RNA, 683 nt
Filed under: Rattus norvegicus (Norway rat)
Lineage: Eukaryota; Metazoa; Chordata; Mammalia; Rodentia; Muridae
Description: long non-coding RNA NONRATT009988
Source: RNAcentral
GGUCAUUCCUUCCCUGAUAUUCUUUCCUUCCACAGGAAACCGAGAUCGACAGCAUUCACCAGUUAGUUGUGGGGGCAACUGAAAAUAUUAAGGAAGGCAACGAAGACAUACGAGAGGCCAUCAAAAACAACGCAGGCUUCCGAGUGUGGAUCCUCUUCUUCCUCGUGAUGUGUUCCUUUUCCUUGCUCUUCCUCGACUGGUAUGACAGCUAGCCCACCAGGGCCUGGCCUGCACCACUGCCCUGGACAGACCACGUGCCAGCGUGUGCCUCAUCUGCUGUGGGGUUGCGUAAGGCCCAAGGGCUGGGAAAGCAUGGCCCCCAAACCAACCUGUGCACCUCAGGACCUGGAAAUACAUGGACUGCCAGUGCCCUGUAUGCUCUUCAGGGUGCAAGAUAAAGGUAGUCAGGAGCUGCACUGUCAGGACAGGCCACAUGCAUGGUGGAGGCUGAGCAACGCAAGGAUACAGCACGCCUCCUGUCCCCAUCUCCUGCCUUUCCCACACCAGUAGCUUCAGGGAAGAACAUGCCUACUGUUUCUAAAAUCGUUAGUUCUUAUUUCCUUGUGGCAUCUAAUGUGUGCCGGCUUAUAUGUGGCCGAUAUGUGGCUGAUAUAUUUUGUCACCAUUUUGUCACAGAAAAUAUUCACAUCUGCCUUGUCAAGCUAAUAAACGCAAUUACAGCC